Mustela erminea (ermine) is the source of this 2881-nucleotide long non-coding RNA. RefSeq lists it as uncharacterized. The record is from RefSeq and is a predicted model, not a curated record. The transcript is spliced from 3 exons. NCBI's taxonomy places the organism in Eukaryota, Metazoa, Chordata, Mammalia, Carnivora, Mustelidae.
CCCCCGCCGCUCUCGCCGGCGAUUGGGCUGCGUCAGGGGCGGGGCCGACGCUGAGCCGUCAGCGAUUGGGAAGGACAGCCGUCCAUCGGCCCUCCCUCGCCCGCCCCGCGCUCGCGGUCCCUUCCGGCGGAAGCGCGGGCGGGCGGCGCGCGGGCCAGAGCGGCUCCUAUUGUUGCUGUGUCAUAGGGGCGCGGCGGCGGCCCCUGGCGGCGGCGUCCGGAACAGCGCGGCGGGCGCCGACCGAGCCGGGGCGCGGGGGGCGUUGGAGUGCACACCCCCACCGUGGCGGGAGAGCUGGUGCACCUGUCGCAGACUCACGGCCGGAGCGACACGCCAGGUCCCAAGAUGUGCGGGAAACAGCCCUCACGUCAGGGGAUCUAGGACGCUGGGGCUGGGGAGGCCCGGCUUCGCGACCCCAGGGCUGUGUCGCCGAAUCACAGCCCUGGACGUGGGGGUCCAGAGUCAGCGCCCAAGACAGCAGCGGUGCUCGUCUGGGGGGCGAUGGAGAUGCCGCGCUGCCUCCCUGUUCCCCCGUGACACUGCUGGCGUGGCUGCCCCCGUUCUCCCCCGGGGGUCCCCCAUUCCCCUCUGAUGACAGUGCUGGCGUGGCUGCCCCUCACUGUCCCCUAGGCAGGUCUCCCUACUCCCCGAUUCUCCCCUGGGGGUCCCCCGUCCUCCCGUGAUGAGUGCUGGGGGCCCCCCACAUUCCCUCUGUGUGUGUGGUUCCCAGAGGCUAACGUGUGCUCACAACAGAAUGUCCCAGCGCGACCCGAUGUUCACAAGGACCGGGUGCCCUCCGUUUCCACCCUGUGCUCCGCUGGGACACAGUAACCACGCGGGGCACACCCACCCAGAGCCCCGGGCCCUCCCAGCCCGCACCAGAGACCCCUCCACAAGCAAGGCCACUCUGCACCAUGCUGCCUGACAGUUUGUCACCUGCGUGUCAGCUCUGUUAAGCUUUUCACAAAAAGGAUCAAAGUGGAAGGUGGUUUCGCUUCGAAGAUUUAUUCACGUUGACGCAGGUGAGUCUGAGAGAGUGAGCACGGGCAGGAGGACGGACGGAGAGGAUCUCCAGCAGAUUCCCCGAUUCCCCGCCGAGCGGGAGCCUGAUGUAGGGCUCGAUCCCAGGACCCCGCAAUCAGGAUGUGAGUCAAAAUCAAGAGCCAGGCAUCCAGGUGCCCCCGAAGGAAAACCACUUCUGUAUCCAUUGUUUUGUGAUCUAAAGACUCACCAAUUUUGCUUUGUUUUUGAAAACGUAGCUGUUUUUCAUUUAAAAAUGUUUAUGUUGAUAAAUAAUAAGCCUUUUACUUUUUAACUAGCAAAUACUUCCACUUCAUUUCAUUUCCUAGUAAAUGCCAACAGAGCAAACCACACACAGGAGCUCCCCGGGGCCCCAGAGACCACAUGGGAGAGGGGCAUGGCCCUGAGCCCACGACAGCAAGUGCCCUGCUGGUGACACUCAAGGACACCAAAGACAACAGUGGCUGCCCGAACACAGGCCAGCGGGCGGGAAGAGUCAGGAAAAGUUAAGAAUUGGCCACAGGAGGCCGCAGGGAAACCAAUGUUGGACCGGAAGAGCGUGGUUCCCCCCAGCCCGUGGCCUCGAGGGGCUCACUGGAGCACAUCCUCUCUUCGAGCUGGGGGCCUGUGUCUAAGGCUGGUUCCGUGGCUCGUGUGCAGGAAGGACAGUGGCCGCAGGCAGACGAGCGUGGCCAAGGCCCCUGGGUGUGCCCGCCCCUGACUGUGGGGUGCUGUGGGGGACAAGGCAGCGGGGUGAGUGGGUCCAGUGGCUCCUGCACAAGGGGUGGGCAGGGCACGGGGACCGUGGCGCCUGGACACAUCACCAAAGGGGCACAGCCAGCAAGAGGCACAGGAGCAGAGAGCCCACGCCAUUCUUCAUAAGAGAAACGCAAAUUAAAACACACCGAUGAGAAGGGCAGGAACCCCGAGAAGGGAGCGCGACGGGACUAAGUGCUGAGGCCGUGGCUGCCCGCACCUGCACGGUCCGCACGGUCCGCACGGUCCGCACGGUUCGGCAGCGGGGUUCCCACGAUCGUCUUUCUUUCCUUUUAACGAUCCUCUUUUUUCGGAGGGAAUGGUAGGUUUAGUCCCAAGGUGAGCAGGAAGUACCGAGUGCUCCCAUGCAGCCCUCCGCAGGCACCUCCUCCUGCCGUCAGCAUCCCCGCCGGCGGGCGCGCAUGUGACAGCCCACAGACCCGCGAGGACACGCAGUGUCACCAGUGGCCCAUCUCCCUGCCCGCCAGCUGUGCGUCUGGACUCACGCAUGACACGGACCCACCAUCACAGUGUCGCACGGAUACACAUGACGUCAAAUUCACCAUCUUAACCCUCAGUGAGCCGUUCAGUGACGGAAAUACACUCCACGAUGUUGUGCCGCAUCAGCAUCCUGUCACCUUUCGAGACACCAAGCCCGCCCCCUGUCCCUGUCGCCGCCAUCCUACUGCCCCUCGCGUUCUGACGACCCUCGUAUGUGACGUCGAUGGGAGUCCUGCAGUCUUUGUCUUUCCGUGAGGGGCUUGUCUCUCUGAGCGGGGCGUCCUCGAGGUCUGCCCACGUGGCAGCAGGUGUCUGGGUCCCCCCCACCCCGGCUGGCGUAGAGCACGUGGUAUUCAUCCGUCCAUCCCUGGCGGACCCGGGCAGCCCCCGUGACUCAGCAGUGGUGGGGAACACUGCUGUCGGCGUGGGCGGACAGACAUCUCUUCGGGACCUUGCUUUCCGAUGCUUCCAGCACAGCAGCACAGUGGGAUUUCCGGACCCUCUGGUAACACUGUGGGUAACGUUCUCCGGAGCUGCGAUCCUGUCUUCCACAGCAGCUGCCCUGCUUUGGAUUCCCGGCAGCAGCCCGUUCCGGCCUGACCGU